RNAcentral lists this transfer RNA (68 nucleotides) under Poecilasma litum. RNAcentral describes it as "tRNA-Thr". It matches the Rfam family "tRNA". From Rfam's summary of the family: Transfer RNA (tRNA) molecules are approximately 80 nucleotides in length. Their secondary structure includes four short double-helical elements and three loops (D, anti-codon, and T loops). Further hydrogen bonds mediate the characteristic L-shaped molecular structure. tRNAs have two regions of fundamental functional importance: the anti-codon, which is responsible for specific mRNA codon recognition, and the 3' end, to which the tRNAs corresponding amino acid is attached (by aminoacyl-tRNA synthetases). tRNAs cope with the degeneracy of the genetic code in two manners: having more than one tRNA (with a specific anti-codon) for a particular amino acid; and 'wobble' base-pairing, i.e. permitting non-standard base-pairing at the 3rd anti-codon position. The record is from RNAcentral. Lineage: Eukaryota; Metazoa; Arthropoda; Thecostraca; Poecilasmatidae.
GUCUUAAUAAUUUAAUUAUGAAAAAUAUUGGUCUUGUAAGCCAAAAAUAAAGAUUCCUUUUUAAGACU